This 334-nucleotide ribosomal RNA is filed under the name Microbacterium sp. SBC-2-2-3. RNAcentral's name for it is "bacterial SSU rRNA". It matches the Rfam family "Bacterial small subunit ribosomal RNA", at positions 103 to 437 of the family's 1533-position model. The record is from RNAcentral. Lineage: Bacteria; Bacillati; Actinomycetota; Actinomycetes; Micrococcales; Microbacteriaceae.
CGGGUGAGUAACACGUGAGCAACCUGCCCCUGACUCUGGGAUAAGCGCUGGAAACGGCGUCUAAUACUGGAUAUGUGACGUGACCGCAUGGUCUGCGUUUGGAAAGAUUUUUCGGUUGGGGAUGGGCUCGCGGCCUAUCAGCUUGUUGGUGAGGUAAUGGCUCACCAAGGCGUCGACGGGUAGCCGGCCUGAGAGGGUGACCGGCCACACUGGGACUGAGACACGGCCCAGACUCCUACGGGAGGCAGCAGUGGGGAAUAUUGCACAAUGGGCGGAAGCCUGAUGCAGCAACGCCGCGUGAUGGAUGACUGCUUUCGGGUUGUAAACCUCUUUU